Molecule: ribosomal RNA, 242 nt
Filed under: uncultured bacterium
Lineage: Bacteria
Description: partial 16S ribosomal RNA
Rfam family: Bacterial small subunit ribosomal RNA
Source: RNAcentral
CAAGCGUUAUCCGGAAUUAUUGGGUUUAAAGGGCGCGUAGGCGGUCUGUUAAGUCCGUGGUGAAAGCUCCAUGCCUAACAUGGAAAAUGCCAUUGAUACUGACGGUCUUGAGUACAUUUGAAGUGGGCGGAAUGUGUCAUGUAGCGGUGAAAUGCUUAGAUAUGACACAGAACACCGAUUGCGUAGGCAGCUCACGAAACUGUAACUGACGCUGAGGCACGAAAGCGUGGGGAGCAAACAGG